Molecule: ribosomal RNA, 119 nt
Filed under: Gadus morhua (Atlantic cod)
Lineage: Eukaryota; Metazoa; Chordata; Actinopteri; Gadiformes; Gadidae
Source: RNAcentral
GCUUACGGCCAUACCACCUUAGGCACGCCCGAUCUCGUCUGAUCUCGGAAGCUAAGCAGGGUCGGGGCUGGUUAGUACUUGGAUGGGUGACCGCCUGGGAAUACCAGGUGCUGUAAUCA